GAUGAACGCUGGCGGCGUGCCUAAUACAUGCAAGUCGAGCGAACAGACGAGGAGCUUGCUCCUCUGACGUUAGCGGUGGACGGGUGAGUAACACGUGGAUAACCUACCUAUAAGACUGGGAUAACUUCGGGAAACCAGAGCUAAUACCGGAUAACAUGUUGAACCGCAUGGUUCAACAGUGAAAGACGGUCUUGCUGUCACUUAUAGAUGGAUCCGCGCCGCAUUAGCUAGUUGGUAAGGUAACGGCUUACCAAGGCAACGAUGCGUAGCCGACCUGAGAGGGUGAUCGGCCACACUGGAACUGAGACACGGUCCAGACUCCUACGGGAGGCAGCAGUAGGGAAUCUUCCGCAAUGGGCGAAAGCCUGACGGAGCAACGCCGCGUGAGUGAAGAAGGUCUUCGGAUCGUAAAACUCUGUUAUUAGGGAAGAACAAAUGUGUAAGUAACUAUGCACGUCUUGACGGUACCUAAUCAGAAAGCCACGGCUAACUACGUG
RNAcentral lists this ribosomal RNA (497 nucleotides) under uncultured bacterium. RNAcentral describes it as "partial 16S ribosomal RNA". It matches the Rfam family "Bacterial small subunit ribosomal RNA", at positions 28 to 507 of the family's 1533-position model. The record is from RNAcentral.